RNAcentral lists this long non-coding RNA (2324 nucleotides) under Lytechinus variegatus (green sea urchin). RNAcentral's name for it is "uncharacterized LOC121410807". The record is from RNAcentral. Lineage: Eukaryota; Metazoa; Echinodermata; Echinoidea; Temnopleuroida; Toxopneustidae.
UAUCACCAUUCAAGCAACGCACGCGCACCAUCCACACCAUCUCAAAAUAAAUGUCUCAGCAUCGCAACUGAUUUAUUGUCACCAGUGUGUGUUGUGUGCUCCGCACCGCAUUUAUAGCCGUAGAUAUGAGCACAUAGCUAAGCACGGCAAUUUAUUUUUUUGUUUCUUUUAUUUUUGACUGCAUUUCACUGAAAUGAUACCGAAAGAAAUGAUGCACGCAUGCUUGUUUACACACCUUGGCGCUUACAAGAGCUCAUAGUCACCAACACAUCUUCAUCUGUCACCUACGGGAAACUCUCCCGGCAGUGUGAGGCGAGUCCCACCGCUCGCACUUGAACCGAAGAAGGUGCACAUAAUUUGCUAGCACAGCACUCCAUGGUACAUGCUCUCCAAGACUUUUUUAAUAUUCGGGAUGACUUAUACCAUUUUUUUCUGAUGAAUGAUAGCGAAUACCAGCAAUAGAUGAUAUUUUCUUCUUGCAUUCCUUCGCAGACGAACUGCUUGACGCUCGCCGUAUAUCUCGGUUGAACAAACUCCGGGUUCUUACGGCGUAUCUUCUCAGCAGUCUUAAUCCUCUUACAGCAAUCUAGAGGUCAUCAUCUGUGUCUUGAAAACACACAAGUACAGUCCUUUCAACAACGAAAACUGAAGAAAAUCUGCUGUCGUCUACUGUUAAGUAGGAGACAGCGCGAGGGAGCCUUUUUUCAACCAUUUCGCCAACUGGAGCAGUAAAACUGAAGCGGGAGCAGCCAGACACCAGCGGGACCGAGCUCCUGUCGUCCUCCCAUCCGCAUCACUUGGAAGUGGCCACCGUGGGAAGCUACGCUGAGCUAGAGGCAGGGGACCCUCAGGCUUUGGACGAGCCCAGUAGGAAGCGACUUAAAAUGUCCACCGUUAGCAUGGAUUCGGGAAGCACCACUGGAGAAGAAGAGGUGAGUAAGUUUUCUUUGUACAUUCAGUUUCAGGAUGAUGUCCUAUCGACGCUUCAACCCUCUUGUAAUGGGACAAUGCUAUAGUAUGAGAUACUGCAGCAAGCAAGCCUUGAAUAUAUUUGUAGUAUUUCAUUAUCAUGGUAUAUCUGGAAGUAAUUCAAACAGAAACUAAGGAAAAUAUUGUUUACUACUUUCAUAUCAAGUGAAGAUUGGCCCACAUGUAUGUAGCAUCAACAAAAAUAUGUCUAUAGGACAUUGCUGGUUUGAGAAAACUUGUUCUUAUAAAAGAUGAUGGUACUUUUGCUUUUAGUCAGUCAAUCGCAACUUGGUAGUUGUUUAAUUGUAACAGGAGCUUAUGUAUUUUUACUAUUAACCAGUUUUAUGCGACAGGUGCCAGACAUAAUGUUAGAUGAUGAGCAAUUGACCCACAAAUUGCUCACUUAUGUCGAUUGUCAAAUUCGAUAGCAAUUUAUAUUUGAAAAUAUGCAAACAGUAUCAAUAGCCUUGUUGUGCAAUGCUAAGACUGUUAAAAAAACUGUUCCAUUAACUGACUGAGGUGGGAGGAUGCACUAGAUCAACGGAUGAAAUUCAGAAUUUCCAUUAUAACAUCCAUAAUCAAUCAUGCGCUAGUAUAAAUAUUCAGUCAUUUAUUCCCACCACUAAUGGCAUUUGCAAAUGCUUGACUCUAGUAUGAUGUUGUAUAGGUGCCAUUACACAAAUGAUAGAUUCAAACAUUUCAGGUAAAUCAUGUGUAUUACAUUCAAAUGGUGUUGAAUAUUUUAAUUACAUGAAUUGGACAAUGGACCCAACAAUUCCUGUGGAUUCUUUGCCAUAGAGUCAUUGAUUGAUAGAAUUAUUAUCAAUUUCCCCAGUGCUCACUUUAACGACCUCCCAUUGAAAUCAAAUUUCUAAUGAACAACAUUCGAUAAUAUUUUUCAUACAGCACAUUAUAUUAAUUUUUGCCUCCAUUCACAACAAUAUCUUGUUUUUUAAAUAAUGAAUAAACCUUUUUACUUAGAGGUAAACACAAAUGCCGAUAGAAUUGAUACCUGCAUUUUUUAGAGGCCUAGAGUUAAUGUAUUCUAUCCAUCCAUGCAAACACAUCGGCAAGGCAAUAGCAAAAAAAGAAAUUAUAUGGGACAAUGGAUGGCCAUAUGUCUAAAAUAAUUAGAAAUGAAUUCUUCAUUGUAAAUGUAGAUUGCUCUUGUGCAGCUCAUACCAAUAUUCAGACACAUACUUGAUAAGGUUACCAAUUGUAAAAUGGGAACAGAUUUGUGAGUAUAAAUGGAUGAAAAUGGGCUGCUUAUGUUUCUGUUACAUGAUCAUGAUGAUCUAGAAGGCCUCAUUCCCCCCCCCCCUGAUUAAUAACUACAUAUAAGAAGGCUUUUGCUC